CCUCACCUGAAAACCAAGACUGAGAAGUGUCCUUGUUUCAUCUCCGCGUGAGGCACAGCGGCCAAGUGAGUGAGGGGAUGGCAGCACAGCAGACACUCAACAGGCCGUCCACACUCACGCCACUCACCCUGGGACGGCUGGCAUUGCGGGUCAGUGAGGACGCGGCAGCCCGCGCGGAGCACCCGUGACGCAGGACGCACAGCCCCUGAAGUUUCAGAAGAUGCCCACGACAUAGAAGACGCAAACUUUCAGACACAAACAAGGGGACACACCCACGGACACACCUGUCACGGACAGGACAGACCCGCGGUCCCUCCUGUAGGAUGGCAGGGACGCAGGAGCUGGGACAGAGGGGUGGAGGUCUGUCAGCGGGAGGCUGUGAAUUCUCACCGGGUUCUGCAGGGGUUGGGUGAGGGGUCUGUCCCGGCAGAGACAAAGACAAAGAACAUUUUGGAUGGACAAAGUGGCAUACGUGGCCAUGCACAGAGGUAAGCAGGGUGUUUUCCGUUGGACAAAUGACAUUCCUUCUGGCUUUAAUGUCUUCACUGGAGUCUCCCCCUUGACUCCUUGCCAGUCUUGACCUGGAGUAUGGGGUGCAGGGGGUUUCACAGUCGAGGCCAGUCGGAAGGGAGGCUGAAGGUACGCAGUUCGCUAGAUGUGCUGCCGGAUGCUGGGCCAGUGUUGGCAGUCUCGCCCAAGAAAGGAAAUAAUAAAACUGAACUUCAGAGAAGUCAAGUCUCCCUUGUCAGAGCCGACAAACGGUUCCUGGAAGCCACUGUGGGGCUACCAACAGAAAGUUGGCACCACUCUGCUGUGGGAUGAAAUGCCCUCCACUUAGGGCUUUUCCUUUUUUCAUACCCCACAACAUAUAAUUUGCACCAUAGAGACAUUGAGCAACACAUUGGGUCUAUGUUUGUCUGGUAAGAAGCCUGAUGAAAUUUCUGUAUUUGCUAAACCGUGCUUUCCCUGAACUCCUCCUUCCAGAGAACGCAUGGAGGGAACGGAAAUUGGGGGCUCAAGCACCCAGGAGCUCUCCUGGACCGCUCACCUCUUGUCCCAGCCCCUGCAAAGCCACAUUUCUUGGGCUUUUCUUUUUUUAAGCCCGAAGAGUAAGAAUUCAAUACAAACACUAAACUGAUCUCCUGACCUCAUUCUAGCCCUGCUGGCUACAGAAAACAAAACACUCCUGACCUGAAUCUUCACCAUUUUGACCCAAUUCCUAUUAGUGGGCACCUGUCUUCUCGCUGGACAAAGCCACAGAGACCCAGCCAGCCACCGGCUAGGAAAGUCCCCGAGUUGAACGGUCAAGAUCUGAACCAUUAAUCAGGAGACAAAACCCGGGGGUGGCAAGUCAUUUCCAGGAGGCUGAACAAGGGGCUGGCGAAUUGAUAGGACAUUGGUCAUUGCAGGUCUGAGAAGCUGAAAAACAACGUAACCGUGCCUGUCUCAGGCUGGCCCAUUCCACUGUGAUAGCCAAGAAAGGCUACGGAGAAAAAUAUUAUGACUCACAUCCUGGCAUCGACGUGACACAACACCUCAAGAUGAGCGUGUUUUGAAGAGCUGACAUUCACACAGCAUCUAGACGCCAAAAUGGUCCUUGCACCGGGUUCACGUCUCUUUCCUCUUUGUCAGACUGUCCCAGGGACAGACACGUGUCUACGGCUCUGCCUUUCUGACCUCUCCUUGCCCACUGCACUGCCGGCACGUCCCACCGGGUCAGGAACCCUCCACCGUGCCCUGAGGUCUUCCAGGAUUUCAUCCGAUUUCCAGCCCUGGGUCACAUGCUCGCCAUUCUGGGCCCUAUGGCACGUGCUUGACUGAGACCACCGAAGUGUCUGGACCUCAGAAGCCCCUGCUGAGCGGUCCUAUGCUCGCAGACGUGUCCUCCUGCACCCCUCCCUGGGACGCGGCACACACAAGGGAAGAAGUCGGCAUGUGUGUGCUUAGCCCCUUAGCAAGCAUCGGGACAAUUAAUGGGGAACGUCUCAAUGACUGAAUGUUUCUUUCUCCAAGAAACUUUGAAUUAAUUCUUCAAAUUAUUGUGCUGUGCGGGGCGGGGCGGGGGCAGGUUUGGGCAAAACCUUGCAUUGACUUUAGAGAAAUGCUAGUUUUCCCAGAAAUCUGAAGGUGGAGUAUGCUUAUACUAUAGUGAAUAAAGGUGUCCAGACACUGUGAAAUCCAGUCUUUCUUCUCUCCCAAAUUACAGAGCGUGAGAAGUGGUUUCCUGGCUUUCCGCUUCCUGCUCCGAGCAUGUUGGGAAGUGAGACCACAGGAGUCUAGAUUUACAUUGUUGGGAUAUAUUUUUUUUUUCAGUAAAUGCUUAUA
This is a long non-coding RNA of Mustela erminea (ermine), 2325 nucleotides long. RefSeq lists it as uncharacterized. The record is from RefSeq and is a predicted model, not a curated record. The transcript is spliced from 5 exons. NCBI's taxonomy places the organism in Eukaryota, Metazoa, Chordata, Mammalia, Carnivora, Mustelidae.